Cyanistes caeruleus (blue tit) is the source of this 336-nucleotide non-coding RNA. NCBI's taxonomy places the organism in Eukaryota, Metazoa, Chordata, Aves, Passeriformes, Paridae. The record is from RefSeq and is a predicted model, not a curated record.
ACAGAAAAGGAUGUGAGAAAGAUUUCUCACCUGUAAUAUCAAAAAAGUUAGAGCCUGCUCAUUUGGACAAUAGCACCAGGUUUGCACAGGCUUUAACCACCAGACCAUAAACACGGCUCUGUGAACAGGUGCUGUGGGCUGGAGACAGCUUUGAACAUCAGAAACAAAAGGAAGAGAAGAAACCUUUGGAAGCUUCAUCUGUGGUCUGAAAGCCAAAGCUCUGCCUUUCUUGCUUUCUGCCUCAUCAGUCAUGAAGAUUUUGCAGGGAGAGCUGAGUUGAUGCCAGUGCUGGUAAGCCAAAAUUGAAAGCAGCUCCCUUUUCUAGGUCUCCAUUAG